GGUCUCAUAGCUCAGUUGGUAGAGCACUACCUCGACAAGGUAGGGGUCACAGGUUCGAGUCCUGUUGGGACCACCA
Molecule: transfer RNA, 76 nt
Filed under: Campylobacterales bacterium
Lineage: Bacteria; Pseudomonadati; Campylobacterota; Epsilonproteobacteria; Campylobacterales
Description: tRNA-Val
Rfam family: tRNA
About the family: Transfer RNA (tRNA) molecules are approximately 80 nucleotides in length. Their secondary structure includes four short double-helical elements and three loops (D, anti-codon, and T loops).
Source: RNAcentral